This 484-nucleotide ribosomal RNA is filed under the name uncultured bacterium. RNAcentral describes it as "partial 16S ribosomal RNA". It matches the Rfam family "Bacterial small subunit ribosomal RNA", at positions 30 to 507 of the family's 1533-position model. The record is from RNAcentral.
AUUGAACGCUGGCGGCAGGCCUAACACAUGCAAGUCGAGCGGAUGAAGGGAGCUUGCUCCUGGAUUCAGCGGCGGACGGGUGAGUAAUGCCUAGGAAUCUGCCUGGUAGUGGGGGAUAACGUCCGGAAACGGGCGCUAAUACCGCAUACGUCCUGAGGGAGAAAGUGGGGGAUCUUCGGACCUCACGCUAUCAGAUGAGCCUAGGUCGGAUUAGCUAGUUGGUGGGGUAAAGGCCUACCAAGGCGACGAUCCGUAACUGGUCUGAGAGGAUGAUCAGUCACACUGGAAGUGAGACACGGUCCAGACUCCUACGGGAGGCAGCAGUGGGGAAUAGUGGGCAAUGGGCGAAAGCCUGAUCCAGCCAUGGCGCGUGUGUGAAGAAGGUCUUCGGAUUGGAAAGCCCGUUAAGUUGGGAGGAAGGGCAGUAAGUUAAUACCUUGCUGUUUUGACGUUACCAACAGAAUAAGCACCGGCUAACUUCGUG